GCCUCAUGGAUCCGUUCACACAGCCCAUCGUCGAUCUGCGCGUUCUCACUCAGGCUGCCCAGGAGCUUGUUCACCAGCUGACACACCCGGAACCGCACCGCGUGGCUGCUCACGCCGUGACACUGCGACAGACAAAGAGGUUACCUCCAACAGAAAGUUGAACAGGAAACUCAGAAAUGUAUCCUCCUCCUCUUCCUCAUCCUCUUCCUCCUCCUCCUCCUCUCUGAUGGGAGUCUCGAAGCUGGCGGCAAACUUCACCACGAAGUCGAUGACACUUUCCACCGCCGGCUCUCUGGUGUAGACGAUCAGCGCGUAUUUUAGGCAGCGCAGAAACUCCUCGUGGAACUCUGCCUUAUCCUCUGACUACAGAACACACACACACACACACACGAGUGAACUUCAGACGAAGCCAUGACCAAUAUAUACAAAAUGGCUCACACUGCCAAGCUUCACAAAAACAUGGGGAUGUUUAGAAAUAUAACAGGCUUUACCUUAACAUACAUGUUCUUCAGACUGGCCACCAGCUUGGCCUUGUUGUUGUGCGCUUUUUGAGCGCGCUGGAAGGUUUCACGGAUCUCCAGUUCAGAAUCAGCAGUCAUGUUGACGCUCCUAAAACACACAAACACACACACACAACUUAAUCGAUAUAUUCUUCAUUAACCAUUACAAACCACUGGACACCUCAAAACAGAAAUGACCCUAAAGGCUGAAUGGAGACACACAGGACAGGACAUUUUUAAAAAAUAUAAUUCCAGCCAAAGCCAUCUGACAUCUCAAAGCUGAAACGUGUAAACGAGUGUUUGCAGUUAAUAAUCCACACACGUAUGACCUGGGCAUGCAAAGCACCUUAAAAAAUAAGAAAAGGGUUUUGCAUGUGGUGUUAAUUUAUUAGUCGUCAACAUACAGCGUUCGAGGAGAUUACCUGAUCUUCCCAAGUCCCAUCGAGUGUUAAUCUCUAUCGAUGGGAAAACAUGACCCAAGUUAGUGUACAUGCAGAAACUAAAGUGUUCUUCAUCUGGAUAUGUCACUCAUCAGCAUAUUUCUUAAACUGUACCUCUGCGUCUAGUUUUAAUCACAGUAAAGUCGAUUUAAAUAACAGCAGCAUAUGGGUUGUGUUACUUUUGGUUUUAAUCCUAAUCUAACAGGAGUGCAGACGCUGAUCUCUGUAAAUGUGUUGAUUCACUUCUCUUGUCAAAGGUUUAACUUCCUGUAUAAAUUCAAUCCUGACACAGA
Molecule: long non-coding RNA, 1233 nt
Organism: Pangasianodon hypophthalmus (striped catfish)
Lineage: Eukaryota; Metazoa; Chordata; Actinopteri; Siluriformes; Pangasiidae
Exons: 2
Source: RefSeq, a predicted model, not a curated record